UGCACCACACGCACCACACCACACACACACACAUACACACACACGAGCAGAGCAAGGGACAGCCAUGUUGUGUGAUCUGGGAGGGUGGCUCAUCCUCUCUGAGUUGUUUAUAAACCGGGCGGGACCCAGGCCUGCCAAUCAAAGGCCUGAUCUGAAUGCUCUUAUUGGUUCAGAGAUGGACAUGUGACCCUCUCUUGGCCAAUCAGAGGCUUUCCUGCUGGAAGGGCUGCUGGAAGCCAUCUUCGCACGGUUCUUCCCUUGGCUUUAGAGCCCCGAAGCGCUCUUUGACUUGAGCUGCUUUGCAUUCUCUCUGUCCUGCCAUCGAGAAAGUUCUGAGCGGCUCAGAAGUAAUACUGACACUAUCAACGGAGGGGGACUGCAGUUUCGCUGGUGGCCCCACAGCCCCCUGCCUCCAGCCAGGGGACAAAGAACAGGAGGGAUCCAGAGCUAUCCCUCCGAGGAAUUCUGCCCCAGACAGCAGAGAGAUGGGGGGCAGGGGACACAUGGCCAUGAGGACAGAGAGCCCUGAGAGGGACUGGGGAAUCGAGACAUCGUUUUCAAAUAAUUGCAGCAAUCAAGAGAGACUGUACAUCCCAUCCCAGACAAAGGGAGACCUAAAAUGAGAGAAUGGAGCUGGGCGCAGUGGUUCACGCCUG
RNAcentral lists this long non-coding RNA (656 nucleotides) under Homo sapiens (human). RNAcentral's name for it is "HSALNT0354858". The record is from RNAcentral. Lineage: Eukaryota; Metazoa; Chordata; Mammalia; Primates; Hominidae.